RNAcentral lists this long non-coding RNA (699 nucleotides) under Homo sapiens (human). Its description in RNAcentral is "CFLAR antisense RNA 1". The record is from RNAcentral. Lineage: Eukaryota; Metazoa; Chordata; Mammalia; Primates; Hominidae.
UUGGAUUUCCUUUGGCAGGGUUCCCUUGUAUGGAAGUUCUCAGGAGAACAACACUCUCAGAGUCCCACUGUCUCAAAGAAUUCUUAAUGGACAGCUAUACUUGGCCCCAAGGUUUCAACCUCACACUGAAGAAAGUGACAUAAGAAAACACAAGUCCCAGUGCUAUCAGGGGCUAUCUGGAAAAGCUGCUUAAACAGCAAGUGAAAGAAGGCUCUCCCCUACCCCGUUCUAGGUGAGGAACAGGUGGCUGGUGAGUUUUUAACUUGAUAGGAGAAUCUAAUAACCUCACCACCCAACAAUACUGAUAGCUUUCCUAUAUGUGCUGAAACUGUUGACAAUACCUAAAGGGAACAGCCUUAGAGAGUGCAGAGCAGGGAAAGUUUAUAUGUGUUUGCUAGUUAUAAAACAGAUGGCACUGUUUUCAUAGUCCAGUGAUACUGGGAGAUCAUAAAAUAAAAUGUCAAUGGCAAGACAGUGACAAUGGGGGCAGUGAGCCUGGCAAAUGGAGAUGAGCCUAAAGCUAAUUUGCUAGAAAAAAAUGACUUGAUUAGGUCAGGGAGGUGGAAGAACAACCAGUUUUGAGCAGAGAUUGUGCCACUGCACUCCAAAGUGGGCAACAGAGCGAGACUCUGUCUCCAAAAAAAAAGAAAAAAAUUAAAAAAAGAUACACAGGAUAUAUUAAGUGAAAAAUGGAUUAUU